Molecule: ribosomal RNA, 255 nt
Filed under: uncultured bacterium
Lineage: Bacteria
Description: partial 16S ribosomal RNA
Rfam family: Bacterial small subunit ribosomal RNA
Source: RNAcentral
CGUACCUACGGGGCGCAGCAGUGGGGAAUAUUGCACAAUGGGGGAAACCCUGAUGCAGCGACGCCGCGUGAGUGAAGAAGUAUUUCGGUAUGUAAAGCUCUAUCAGCAGGGAAGAAAAUGACGGUACCUGACUAAGAAGCCCCGGCUAACUACGUGCCAGCAGCCGCGGUAAUACGUAGGGGGCAAGCGUUAUCCGGAUUUACUGGGUGUAAAGGGAGCGUAGACGGCUGUGCAAGUCUGAAGUGAAAUGCCAGG